UGGCUCAGAUUGAACGCUGCGGCAGGCUUAACACAUGCAAGUCGAACGGUAACAGAAGAAAGCUUGCUUCUUUGCUGACGAGUGGCGACGGGUGAGUAAUGCUUGGGAAUCUAGCUUAUGGAGGGGGAGUAACUACGGGAAACUGUAGCUAAUACCGCGUAAUAUCGAGAGAUUAAAGGGUGGGACCGCAAGGCCACCUGCCAUGAGAUGAGCCCAAGUGGGAUUAGGUAGUUGGUGAGGUAAAGGCUCACCAAGCCGACGAUCUCUAGCUGGUCUGAGAGGAUGACCAGCCACACUGGAACUGAGACACGGUCCAGACUCCUACGGGAGGCAGCAGUGGGGAAUAUUGCACAAUGGGGGGAACCCUGAUGCAGCCAUGCCGCGUGAAUGAAGAAGGCCUUCGGGUUGUAAAGUUCUUUCGGUAGCGAGGAAGGCAUUUAGUUUAAUAGACUAGAUGAUUGACGUUAACUACAGAAGAAGCACCGGCUAACUCCGUG
RNAcentral lists this ribosomal RNA (497 nucleotides) under uncultured Pasteurellaceae bacterium. RNAcentral's name for it is "bacterial SSU rRNA". It matches the Rfam family "Bacterial small subunit ribosomal RNA", at positions 20 to 507 of the family's 1533-position model. Lineage: Bacteria; Pseudomonadati; Pseudomonadota; Gammaproteobacteria; Pasteurellales; Pasteurellaceae. The record is from RNAcentral.